RNAcentral lists this signal recognition particle RNA (98 nucleotides) under Acetobacteraceae bacterium. Its description in RNAcentral is "signal recognition particle sRNA small type". It matches the Rfam family "Bacterial small signal recognition particle RNA". From Rfam's summary of the family: The signal recognition particle (SRP) is a universally conserved ribonucleoprotein involved in the co-translational targeting of proteins to membranes. The record is from RNAcentral. Lineage: Bacteria; Pseudomonadati; Pseudomonadota; Alphaproteobacteria; Acetobacterales; Acetobacteraceae. RNAcentral also lists the same sequence under 1 other name.
GGAGGUCGGCGGUGGACGGGCGCCUCGCCAACCCGGUCAGGGCCGGAAGGCAGCAGCCGCAACGAGUUUCCGCUCGGGUCAUUUGUUCGGCCUCCCAC